This 301-nucleotide ribosomal RNA is filed under the name uncultured bacterium. Its description in RNAcentral is "partial 16S ribosomal RNA". It matches the Rfam family "Bacterial small subunit ribosomal RNA", at positions 509 to 807 of the family's 1533-position model. The record is from RNAcentral.
CAGUCGCCGCGGGAAUACGGAGGGCGCGAGCGUUACCCGGAUUUACCGGGCGUAAAGGGCGUGUAGGCGGCCUGGGGCGUCCCAUGUGAAAGGCCACGGCUCAACCGUGGAGGAGCGUGGGAUACGCUCAGGCUAGAGGGUGGGAGAGGGUGGUGGAAUUCCCGGAGUAGCGGUGAAAUGCGCAGAUACCGGGAGGAACGCCGAUGGCGAAGGCAGCCACCUGGUCCACUUCUGACGCUGAGGCGCGAAAGCGUGGGGAGCAAACCGGAUUAGAUACCCCGGUAGUCCCUGUCUCUUAUAC